CCCAGACUCCUACGGGAGGCAGCAGUGGGGAAUAUUGCACAAUGGGCGAAAGCCUGAUGCAGCAACGCCGCGUGAGCGAUGAAGGCCUUCGGGUCGUAAAGCUCUGUCCUCAAGGAAGAUAAUGACGGUACUUGAGGAGGAAGCCCCGGCUAACUACGUGCCAGCAGCCGCGGUAAUACGGAGGAUGCGAGCGUUAUCCGGAUUUAUUGGGUUUAAAGGGUGCGUAGGCGGAUCGUUAAGUCAGUGGUCAAAUGGGGGGGCGCACCCCCUCCCCGCCAUUGAAACUGGCGCUCUUGAGUGGAAGAGAAGUAUGCGGAAUGCGUGGUGUAGCGGUGAAAUGCAUAGAUAUCACGCAGAACCCCGAUUGCGAAGGCAGCAUGCCGGCUUCCGACUGACGCUGAAGCACGAAAGCGUGGGGAUCGAACAGGAUUAGAUACCCCCGUAUCA
This 447-nucleotide ribosomal RNA is filed under the name uncultured bacterium. RNAcentral's name for it is "bacterial SSU rRNA". It matches the Rfam family "Bacterial small subunit ribosomal RNA", at positions 330 to 797 of the family's 1533-position model. The record is from RNAcentral.